AACGAACGCUGGCGGCAUGCCUAACACAUGCAAGUCGAACGAGACCUUCGGGUCUAGUGGCGCACGGGUGCGUAACGCGUGGGAACCUGCCCUUAGGUUCGGAAUAACUCCCCGACAGGGGUGCUAAUACCGGAUAAUGUCUUCGGACCAAAGAUUUAUCGCCUUUGGAUGGGCCGUCGUUGGAUUAGCUAGUUGGUAGGGUAAAAGCCUACCACGGCGCCGAUCCAUAGCUGGUCUGAGAGGCUGAUCAGCAACACUGGGACUGAGACACGGCCCAGACUCCUACGGGAGGCAGCAGUGGGGAAUAGUGGACAGUGGGCUGAAGCCUGAUCCAGCAAGGCCGCGUGAGUGAUGAAGUCCUUAGGGUUGUAAAGCUCUUUUACCCGGGAUGAUAAUGACAGUACCGGGAGAAUAAGCUCCGGCUAACUCCGUG
This 433-nucleotide ribosomal RNA is filed under the name uncultured bacterium. Its description in RNAcentral is "partial 16S ribosomal RNA". It matches the Rfam family "Bacterial small subunit ribosomal RNA", at positions 29 to 507 of the family's 1533-position model. The record is from RNAcentral.